Molecule: long non-coding RNA, 1796 nt
Organism: Amphiprion ocellaris (clown anemonefish)
Lineage: Eukaryota; Metazoa; Chordata; Actinopteri; Pomacentridae
Source: Ensembl
UUUCUCUCCUCCUCUCAGUGACACGUACUGAGACUGAAAUUAGCCGACAGAGCAGCCUGCGUUUGUCCGAGCCGUCUGCCAGAUCGUAGACGCGGACCACUGCCGUCCUCCAGAACAGAGGACGUGGACCUUCCCCCCCCGACUGCUCCGAUUGGCUGGCCCGCUCCCCAGAAGGACCCGGGGUUGACCCUGGCCAUCACAGCCGCGCGCUGACCGGUUAAAUCUUUAAUUUGUUUGGAAGUAUUUUUAGCCACAGCUUAAUGCUGUGGAUUGUGGCAGUGCUCUCUCCUCCUCCGGCCCUGCUCUCUCUCCUCCAGGUGUGCGCUGCACAGAGGCCGGUGACAGGUGUGGCGUAUUGGCAAUCAGCUGAUUGUGCGCAGGUGGAAGCCAGAGGAUUACCGACUCCAUUCGUCGGUUGAUGCCGGACUGUCCUCGACCUUACAGUUAGUGCUGCAAGCCGAACUGUCUGUGCCACUUACCUGGUUCUGCAAGUAAUCCUGUUUUCCCUGUGUUUAGAAGCUGACUUUCACCUGCUUGUGGUCACCUGGCUCUGCUGGUUCCAUCAUCGUCUGCCUGGCCUCCGUUCUCUAGUGGAUUCCAUUCAGCCGUGGAGACUCCCCUGCCACCAGCCUUCCCCUCCUGGAGAACACCUACCGAGCCCUGGAACACUCCGUGCCUCCCUAAGACGUAUAACCACCUGCCCAAGCCUCCGGACGCCAUUCUCCAUCCUGGCCGUUCGAACCGGGGACUUCGUCUAAGGAUUGGAUGGAGUCUGCACCCCUCCCUAGUAGAACUACUUCCUGUUUAGUCAGCUAAGUUCUUAGCCCUAACGACACCAGACUGUUUUGUCUUGCUAUGUAUUUCGUAUUAGUGGGUUUUCAUAGUUACUCGUAGUUGUAGUCUGGGCUUUUAGUGGAGGUUAUUGCAGACUAGGUUCUUGGUUUUUUUUGGAUAGUUUAUUUCAGUUGUAUUCCUGCCCUGGUGUUACCAGUAUUGGGUUUACUUAGUUUCUGUUUUUUAGGAUUUGUAAUUGCCCUCCGAGCCACUAGAGGCUGUCUUGAUCUGUUUGUUCCCAUAGAGUAGGUUACACUUCUGGUUCCGGAAUUCAGUUCCUAGUUGGGAUUUGUAGUCCUUGAGUUUUUUGUGUGUAAAAGCUUUUUGUAAAUCGUGCAACUGCUUUCAUUGUUACUUUCAUUUCCUGCAUCUGAGCCUCUACACCUGCCGUAACAUUUUAUUCUUUUGUAUUAUUUUCGACAUUGUAGAUUCAUACUGAAGAUUAACAUUUUUUGUUUACAACAUAAUUCCAUAUAUAUUUGUAUGUGUACUUUUAUAGUUUUGAUGUAUUCAGUAUUAAUUUACAAUGUAUAAAAUAAUUAAAGAAAAACCAUUGAAUGAGAAGGUGUGUCCAAACUUUAUUCAAUCAACUCCUAACAUUAUCAUUGCUUUAAAGUCCCAUUUUUAGUUAAUCCAUGAUUUUAGUUCAAUAUUUGGUCUUUUUUUUUUUUUUUUUUAAUCUCUGCUUUGGUCUCCACCAACAUUCAAGAGAAAUAACUAAAUUUAGCUGCUAAAUGCAAUGUUAGCAAACCUGUUCCCCAAGUUUUAACUGUGAACCCAAACAAUAGUGAGCUAAAAAUCAAAACAAAGGGCUCAAAGAUGCUAAAAUACCCUGUAAAACUGAACGCAGCAAAGUCAGGGAAUGAUUGUGUAGAGACAUUACUACCAGCUAAGGUAUUCAUACUAUAUAAUGUAUUGUUAUGAAAUCAUAUUAAAACAAUGAUUAGAGCAGCUGUAACGAC